Molecule: ribosomal RNA, 465 nt
Filed under: uncultured bacterium
Lineage: Bacteria
Description: partial 16S ribosomal RNA
Rfam family: Bacterial small subunit ribosomal RNA
Source: RNAcentral
CCUACGGGCGGCAGCAGUAGGGAAUCUUCCACAAUGGGCGCAAGCCUGAUGGAGCAACACCGCGUGAGUGAAGAAGGGUUUCGGCUCGGAAAGCUCUGUUGUUGGAGAAGAACGUGCGUGAGAGUAACUGUUCACGCAGUGACGGUAUCCAACCAGAAAGUCACGGCUACCUACGUGCAAGCAGCCGCGGUAAUACGUAGGUGGCAAGCGUUAUCCGGAUUUUUUGGGCGUCAAGCGAGCGCAGGCGGUUGCUUAGGUCUGAUGUGAAAGCCUUCGGCUUAACCGAAGAAGUGCAGCGGAAACCGGGCGACGUGAGUGCAGAAGAGGACAGUGGAACUCGAGGUGUAGCGGUGGAAUGCGGAGAUAUAUGGAAGAACACCAGUGGCGAAGGCGGCUGUCUGGUCUGCAACUGACGCUGAGGCUCGAAAGCAUGGGUAGCGAACAGGAUUAGAUACCCGGGUAGUC